Molecule: ribosomal RNA, 624 nt
Filed under: uncultured Actinomycetes bacterium
Lineage: Bacteria; Bacillati; Actinomycetota; Actinomycetes
Description: bacterial SSU rRNA
Rfam family: Bacterial small subunit ribosomal RNA
Source: RNAcentral
AUUCGCGGCCUAUCAGCUUGUUGGUGAGGUAGUGGCUUACCAAGGCGACGACGGGUAGCCGGCCUGAGAGGGUGACCGGCCACACUGGGACUGAGACACGGCCCAGACUCCUACGGGAGGCAGCAGUGGGGAAUAUUGCACAAUGGGCGCAAGCCUGAUGCAGCGACGCCGCGUGAGGGAUGAAGGCCUUCGGGUUGUAAACCUCUUUCGUCAGGGAAGAAGCGAAAGUGACGGUACCUGAAGAAGAAGCACCGGCUAACUACGUGCCAGCAGCCGCGGUAAUACGUAGGGUGCGAGCGUUGUCCGGAAUUAUUGGGCGUAAAGAGCUUGUAGGCGGCUUGUCGCGUCUGCCGUGAAAACCUAGGGCUUAACUCUGGGCGUGCGGUGGGUACGGGCAGGCUAGAGUGUGGUAGGGGAGACUGGAAUUCCUGGUGUAGCGGUGAAAUGCGCAGAUAUCAGGAGGAACACCGAUGGCGAAGGCAGGUCUCUGGGCCAUAACUGACGCUGAGAAGCGAAAGCAUGGGGAGCGAACAGGAUUAGAUACCCUGGUAGUCCAUGCCGUAAACGUUGGGCGCUAGGUGUGGGGCUCAUUCCACGAGUUCUGUGCCGCAGCUAACGCAUUAA